Molecule: ribosomal RNA, 800 nt
Filed under: uncultured archaeon
Lineage: Archaea
Description: bacterial SSU rRNA
Rfam family: Archaeal small subunit ribosomal RNA
Source: RNAcentral
UUAAAUGUUCUUCGUGAACAUAGCGAACUGCUCAGUAACACGUGGAUAACCUACCCUUAGGACCGGAAUAACCCCGGGAAACUGGGGAUAAUACCGGAUAAGCCAUAGACGCUGGAAUGCACUAUGGUUCAAAGCUCCGGCGCCUAAGGAUGGAUCUGCGGUCUAUCAGGUUGUAGUGGGUGUAACGUACCUACUAGCCGACGACGGAUACGGGUUGUGAGAGCAAGAGCCCGGAGAUGGAUUCUGAGACACGAAUCCAGGCCCUACGGGGUGCAGCAGGCGCGAACACUUUACAAUGCGGGAAACCGCGAUAAGGGAACCCCGAGUGCCAGCAUCAAAUGUUGGCUGUCCAGAUGAUUAAAAAUCAUUUGUUAGCAAGGGCCGGGCAAGACCGGUGCCAGCCGCCGCGGUAACACCGGCGGCCCGAGUGGUAGCCGUUUUUAUUGGGUCUAAAGGGUCCGUAGCCGGCCUGAUAAGUCCUUUGGGAAAUCUGGCAGCUUAACUGUCAGGCUUCUAAGGGAUACUGUCAGGCUUGGGACCGGAAGAGGUAAGGGGUACUCCAGGGGUAGGAGUGAAAUCUUGUAAUCCCUGGGGGACCAUCUGUGGCGAAGGCGCCUUACCAGAACGGGUCCGACGGUGAGGGACGAAAGCUAGGGGAGCAAACCGGAUUAGAUACCCGGGUAGUCCUAGCUGUAAACGAUGCUCGCUAGGUGUCAGACACGGUGCGACCGUGUUUGGUGCCGCAGGGAAGCCGUUAAGCGAGCCACCUGGGAAGUACGGUCGCAAGGCUGAAACUUAAA